This is an RNA transcript of Hydra vulgaris (swiftwater hydra), 831 nucleotides long. RefSeq lists it as uncharacterized. NCBI's taxonomy places the organism in Eukaryota, Metazoa, Cnidaria, Hydrozoa, Anthoathecata, Hydridae. The record is from RefSeq and is a predicted model, not a curated record.
GUGGGUUUUAGAAGAUCUAUAAAGGCAAGAAGCCUAGUUACUUAAACAAAGUUUAUCAGCAGAUUUGAACCAACCAAAGCUAAUUUCCUUGCUACCGACUAUACAGAGAUAAUUUACUGGAACACUACUACGCUUUUGCCGCAACCUUUGCUGUGAAGAAACUUAGAUGAAGAUACUUGGUCGCGGCUGAGUGGAACUUUGAAAAGUACCCAUGUCACACCUAAGCAGUAAAACGAUGCGUAAAGCUUGUAACAGAGGCUUCACAAAAAGUAGCUGGCUUUAAAUUCAGAAAUAGAUUUUAUAAGAACUAAACAUUAUAAGAACUCCAGAUCCUCAAUACCUAUUUUUUUAAGCAAAUCAUUUUUUAAACUACGGAAAAAAUUAACGAAAAAUAUUAACUAAAGAGUUUAUUCAAUUUCAAUUCAUUUGUUAAAAAAUAUAAAAAGGGAAAAUUUCUUCAAUUAUUCAAGCUCCUGACGUAAAAAGAUAAGUUAAAAAGAGGACAACUAAAAACUGAAAACUUCAAAAUAGUUAAACUCCUCGGGUCAGGUGGAUAUGGAAAGGUCUAUCUUUGUACUGAAAAAAAUACAGGCGAAAAAUUUGCAAUGAAAUGCAUUGAGUCUGAAAACACUGAUCGUAACGUAAUAGCACAACAAGUGGAACAACUAAAGCAAGAAAUUUCUGUUUUUAAAACAUUAAACCAUAUACGAAUUGUGAAAUACUAUGGGUUUACUUAUGAUAGCACAUCAAUCUCUAUUUUAAUGGAAUACAUGGAAGGGGUAUAUAAGUUUUGUUAAUUUUUUUUUUAUGAACUGUUUAUCUUUAAUUGUU